GAAAUGCGAUAAGUAAUGUGAAUUGCAGAAUUCAGUGAAUCAUCGAAUCUUUGAACGCACCUUGCGCUCCUUGGUAUUCCGAGGAGCAUGCCUGUUUGAGUGUCAUGGAAUUCUCAACUCUAUUUGCUUUUGUGAAUAGAGCUUGGAUUUGGAGGUUUAUUGCUGGUACUUGUGAUCGGCUCCUCUUGAAUGCAUUAGCUCGAACCUUUGCGGUUCAGCUAUCGGUGUGAUAAUUGUCUACGCCGUUGCAGUGAAGCAUAUCAAUGGGCUCGGCUUCCAAUCGUCCUUUACUGGACAAUGACUUUGACCUUUGACCUCAAAUCAGGUAGGAUUACCCGCUGAACUUAAGC
This 350-nucleotide unclassified non-coding RNA is filed under the name plant metagenome. Its description in RNAcentral is "partial contains 5.8S ribosomal RNA, internal transcribed spacer 2, and large subunit ribosomal RNA". The stretch from base 1 to 105 matches the Rfam family "5.8S ribosomal RNA", at positions 50 to 154 of the family's 154-position model. The record is from RNAcentral.